RNAcentral lists this ribosomal RNA (253 nucleotides) under uncultured bacterium. Its description in RNAcentral is "partial 16S ribosomal RNA". It matches the Rfam family "Bacterial small subunit ribosomal RNA", at positions 524 to 776 of the family's 1533-position model. The record is from RNAcentral.
UACGUAGGGGGCAAGCGUUGUCCGGAUUUAUUGGGCGUAAAGAGCUCGUAGGCGGCUCGUUGCGUCGGCUGUGAAAACCCGCAGCUCAACUGUGGGCUUGCAGCCGAUACGGGCGGGCUUGAGUUCGGUAGGGGAGACUGGAAUUCCUGGUGUAGCGGUGAAAUGCGCAGAUAUCAAGAGGAACACCGGUGGCGAAGGCGGGUCUCUGGGCCGAAACUGACGCUGAGGAGCGAAAGCGUGGGGAGCGAACAGG